GAAAGAACUUCCACCGCUACUGCUGUGUGCUGUGUAUGGUAUACGCUCUCCUGCAAGUUUAUCUUUACUAUCAUCAUGUACAGUAACUUUGUAUGUAUCUCUGCACUCUCGUCUACGUACGUGCAUAUACUACUACUAGUAGUGAUCCCAAGUCGCCGACUGUUAAUCCAUGAGUUAGCAGGAGCUGGGUUUGAAGCCAACGGAGGUGCCGUCGAUGCGCACCUCGAACGAGCGCUGCUGCACGUUGCCGAGGAUGGCCAUGCCACCGUCACUGCCGCUGGGUGCGAACGCGAGGCACCCGAACGACAGGAUCCCGUCGGCGCCCAGCGUGACGGUCGCGCCGCUGCCGAAGGUGAGCGCCACGUUCGGGAGCGUCACGGUGCCGUACCCGGCGAAGUUGUAGCAGGUGUCCAGGAUCCCGUUCGACGGCGCUGUCGGGUACCCGUACGAGGCCAUGCCGCUGCGGAACGCGGACCGCAGCGCCGCGUACGCGGUCGGGGGCAAGCGGGUGACGACCGUGCCGGUGUCCACCACCGUCCCGCCCGCGAACGCCGACGCGGGCACGCUGAGCUGCUGCCCGCCGACGCUGAUCCCCGUCAGCAUGACGACGUAGUAGGUCGGCGCGUUCGGCGACGGCAGCAGCUGCGUCGUGGAGAAGCCCGGCGCGGCGCCCGACGGCCCGCCCACGCCCAGCGUGAGGUACCCCGCGGUGGACGGCUUCGUCGGGAGGCAGUAGGAGAAGACCCCGCCGUAGGUGCCCGCCGUCUGCUCCACGAGCGACGGCUGCUCGCGGCCGAGGCCCAGGAGCCCGUCGACGCCGUUGAACAGCCCGCUCUGCGCGUGCCCGCAGCCGAAGAAGAAGCCCUGCACCGCGCUGCUCGCCGACAGGGUCAGCGUGUCGGAGCUGUACACGCCCGUGGUGUUGGACCCGUCGCCGUAGCUGACCACGUACCCGCACUGCGCCGCCGAGCAGGCGGACGCGGCGUAGAUGCCCAGCCCCGCGCACACGGGGCCCCCGCACGGCACGGCGGCGUAGGACGACGACUGGGCGGGGUCGAAGAGCGGGUCCUUCUGGCUGUAGCACGACGGCGCCGCGGCGCACGGCUUGCACUGCACCCACGACAGGUCGCUGCCGGUGUCCACCUCCAUGGUCUGCGCCACGCCCGGCGUGCCGAGGCUCGCCGUCACCACGUAGUUGAGCGUGCCGAUGUCGUACCCCCAGCUCGCCGGCACCGUCGCCACCGCCGCCGCCGCCUUGGAGUCCCACAGCUGAGGCGCGCGCCCCGACACCCUCCUCAGUAUGUACUCCGCCCGGCGCUGGUCCGCGCGCAGCGUGUCAGCCACCGACGGGGCCGCUAGCGAGGACGCCCGCGAGGGGGCGCACGGCCCGUGCCUGUGCGUCAGCCGCAGCACGGCGGACGUGCCGUUCCGCCGGUGCGGCGGAACUGAAACAAACACCGAAUUCCAGUUCCAGCCAGCGAAUCAAUCAGCUACAUCGGAAUCGAAGCUCCCAACAAACACAAACAACUCUAUGGGAAAGAGGAACUGAAGCAGCCGACGAUCAGACCCGCGUACCUCGGUCGGGGGAGCUGCACGUUGAGGACGGCACGAAGCUGGCGGCGGAGACGGCGACGUAGCCGGGCGCCACCGCGGCGGCAUGGGAGCAGGGCAAGAAACCGAGCGCUCCGGCGCAGAGGAGUGACGAGAGGAGUACGACGCGGCGCACGGCCGGGGAGCUCAUGGCGCCUUGGUUCGGC
This 1757-nucleotide unclassified non-coding RNA is filed under the name Zea mays. RNAcentral describes it as "misc RNA Zm00001eb253010". Lineage: Eukaryota; Viridiplantae; Streptophyta; Magnoliopsida; Poales; Poaceae. The record is from RNAcentral.